RNAcentral lists this ribosomal RNA (253 nucleotides) under uncultured bacterium. RNAcentral's name for it is "partial 16S ribosomal RNA". It matches the Rfam family "Bacterial small subunit ribosomal RNA", at positions 524 to 776 of the family's 1533-position model. The record is from RNAcentral.
UACGUAGGGGGCAAGCGUUGUCCGGAUUUAUUGGGCGUAAAGAGCGUGUAGGCGGCCAGACAGGUCCGUUGUGAAAACUCGAGGCUCAACCUCGAGACGUCGACGGAAACCGUCUGGCUAGAGUCCGGAAGAGGAGUGUGGAAUUCCAGGUGUAGCGGUGAAAUGCGUAGAUAUCUGGAGGAACACCGGUGGCGAAGGCGGCAUCCUGGACCGGUAUUGACGCUGAUGCGCGAAAGCCAGGGGAGCAAACGGG